GCCACGGUGGCUGAGCGGUUAGCACGCUCGCCUCCCACCAAGGCAAACCGGGUUCAAUCCCCGGCCGGGUCA
This is a non-coding RNA of Dryococelus australis, 72 nucleotides long. NCBI's taxonomy places the organism in Eukaryota, Metazoa, Arthropoda, Insecta, Phasmatodea, Phasmatidae. The record is from the annotation of a GenBank genome assembly.